This 72-nucleotide transfer RNA is filed under the name Bos taurus (domestic cattle). It matches the Rfam family "tRNA". Rfam says of the family: Transfer RNA (tRNA) molecules are approximately 80 nucleotides in length. Their secondary structure includes four short double-helical elements and three loops (D, anti-codon, and T loops). The record is from Rfam by way of RNAcentral. RNAcentral also lists the same sequence under 2 other names. Lineage: Eukaryota; Metazoa; Chordata; Mammalia; Artiodactyla; Bovidae.
UCCCUGGUGGCUCAGAUGGUAAAGAAUUUACCUGCAAGGUAGGAGACCCAGGUUUGAUCCCUGGGUGGGGAA